RNAcentral lists this long non-coding RNA (1392 nucleotides) under Canis lupus familiaris (dog). RNAcentral describes it as "lncRNA (ENSCAFG00000052528.1)". Lineage: Eukaryota; Metazoa; Chordata; Mammalia; Carnivora; Canidae. The record is from RNAcentral.
GGAGGGAGGGAGGGAGGGGGGCAGGGGCUGCGGGGGGCGCCCCCUCGCCUCGCACCUCCGGACAGGUGUGCCCCGCCCCCGCCCGGCCUCGGCGGUGCGCGUGCGUGCGUGCGCUUUCAGGUAAUUUCCGAGUAAUUGGCUCAGGACAACUUUCCACUUUGGGAAGCGGUUUCAGCGAAAUCCUGUCGAGCAGCUAGUUUUCGACACGUUCUUUCGGAGACCAGUGACUUCGCGUACAUUUUUUUUUUCUUUUUUUUUUUUUUGGAGCAGCGGGUGCGAGGCGGGCGGAGCGCGCGGUGCCACAGGUUCGCGGAGGGGCGGGGCGGGGGCCGCGGGCGGGCGGAGAGGGCGGCGCGGGGCGCGGGGCGCGGGGCGGGGGCAGCCGCAGGCCGUGCGCGCCGCCGGGCCCUGAGGCUUCUCGGGCUGGAGAAGUUCCCGCGGUUUUGUGCGGCCCCGCAAGGAGCAUCGCCCAGGCGCCCGGAGAGAGGGGGAGGGAGAAGCCGGACCCGACCCCGCGCCUCCCUGCGCCCUGGAGCCGUCGUGCACGGACACCAGGGAUCCAGUACUACACCACCUACAGACAAGCGUACCACAUGGAGCAACAGCCCGUCUACAAGUGCUGCCCUGGUUGGAGCCAGUGGGACAAUGAACCUGGCUGCCUAUGCUGCGGUGGGAACAUGUUUCAAAGGAAGGAGGUGCUCAGACGGCGAGGCCCAGCAGAGCCAGUAUUCAGAGGGUUUUCAAGGCCCCCACUGUCAAUAUGAACUCCAUGAAGAGGUCUUGGGCUAAUUUAUUCAAUAUAGUGCCAAACGGCCGUGGAACAUUAGAUUGACUGAUGAUUUUCUCUCUCAGAGAUGUCAGUGGAAACAUUCCUAACUGCCCGAGGCAGUCAUAUGCCACAGCUGGCACCAUAUUUAAACUACUUCCCCACGUAAGUGCAUAAUUUUGUCACCUGGUGAUAAAGAGCAAAGAGCUACAAAAGGAAAUUUUGCAAAAAAUAGUCUUAUUUUCACUUAGCUAAUGCUGCAACUCUGUCAAUUAGGCCUUUUUAGGUAGAUGAAAACAUUUGUGUGCCAAUUAAAUAACUUAGCAAAUUUCAGCAAGACUCAGCAAAAUUCAGAAUGCCAUUUCCUAAAGAUGCAGCCCCAUUCUUGUUAAACAAAGAUGAUCAGAUGCCAUCUAGGACAUUUAGUGGCUCCUCAGAUACUGAAAAAUUUUAAGUCAAAGAAAAAGCACCACUCUUAACUAAGGAAAGCCAAAAAAAGGUAACAAGGGAAACCAAAAUAUUAAAAACAUGAAAUAAUUUUUCAAAAAUAUGUAUACUGGAGGAGAAAUGAUAAAUUAACUUGAAAUGGUAAAUCUUUUCAUUUUUUAUUUCAAAGUGUAGCUCUG